RNAcentral lists this ribosomal RNA (214 nucleotides) under Parabacteroides distasonis. RNAcentral describes it as "partial 16S ribosomal RNA". It matches the Rfam family "Bacterial small subunit ribosomal RNA", at positions 564 to 776 of the family's 1533-position model. Lineage: Bacteria; Pseudomonadati; Bacteroidota; Bacteroidia; Bacteroidales; Tannerellaceae. The record is from RNAcentral.
UAGGGUGCGUAGGCGGCCUUUUAAGUCAGCGGUGAAAGUCUGUGGCUCAACCAUAGAAUUGCCGUUGAAACUGGGGGGCUUGAGUAUGUUUGAGGCAGGCGGAAUGCGUGGUGUAGCGGUGAAAUGCAUAGAUAUCACGCAGAACCCCGAUUGCGAAGGCAGCCUGCCAAGCCAUGACUGACGCUGAUGCACGAAAGUGUGGGUAUCAAACAGA